Molecule: long non-coding RNA, 1361 nt
Organism: Ruditapes philippinarum (Manila clam)
Lineage: Eukaryota; Metazoa; Mollusca; Bivalvia; Venerida; Veneridae
Exons: 4
Source: RefSeq, a predicted model, not a curated record
GUAUCACGAUUAGGCUGGAACUGGGUACAGCAAGAGUUUGAAUGUUGUGGUGCCGAUAGCUACGCUGACUUUGAGGAGAAAGGUAGUUCGUAUAAAGAUGGCAUCACAAAUGAUAACUUCGUCAUUGGUAUAAGUAAUGGGGAUGUGUAUGCCCCGGUAGCAUGUUGUAAGACAUUACCGUUGACUGAUGCUGAACGUACAACAUGUGCCGGAUAUGGUAGUCUUCCCAGUGAAACUAACAGUAAUCUCAACAAGGGGUGUGUAGACCAAGUAUGGAAAAUUGUUGUAGAGGACAAUACUGUAUACUUCGGGCUUGCUGUAGGGUUUUGCUUUGCCUUCCAGAUUGUUAUCAUCUUCUUCGCCAUUCUAAUCUACAAGAACCGAGGCAUUACCGGUGGUUUGGUGUAAUAACAUCGUCAUCGUGUGUUUUGAAACAACGAAGUGUUUAUAUCGUCUGUGAUACAUAAUCUAUGUCUUUCUUUCUUAAUUCUCAGUUAUACUUCAUCAUAACAUACAUAUAUAGAUGUUCCCUUAAUCAACUACGUUUUAUUAAGACUAGUUUUCUUAUUUUCUAUUAAACAGCUUAAAAUCAAAUACUAAACAGAAAACUGUUAAAUUCGGGUGAGGAUUUUUCGAACUAGCUUUUAGGAACAAUAACUGCACGGUUUUCUUUUGCAAUAACGAAUGUUUCCAUAUUUUUCUAGUGGCUUUUAUAUGAUAAUGCAACCAAUGUUCGUACGGAACAACAGUUUUGACAUAGUGACAAAAGAAUUAGAAUUGUAAGUGUCUGUUUAUACAUCCUUUGAGCGGCCACCAUUUUUUUCAAGCCCCCAAACUCCAAGAAUAUUAGUUACUACCCAGACAGAGUAAUCUCCUAAAAAUAUGAUUAAGUGGUGUGUAGUUAUGUGCAGGUCGUCAUGGAAAUGUAUAAACAAAUAAAAGAAAAAGACCCGGUAUACCUCACAACAUUUUGACAGGAAAGUCACGUGACCCCUGUCCAGAAACAUGUAUUCGUGGAUGGUUUCAAUUUCGUAAAUACAUGUACGUCUUCAAAUGGAUAAAGCGGUGUCAAGAAAUUGUCCUUGACCUCUACGUUUUAUUACACUAUUGUCGUUAAAAGGAUAUAAGAUUGUGCUUUGAGUGUACUGAUUAUACUAUGUAUUAAAGUUAUCACACAAUGAUCUGCGCAAUUAAUGUCCUACAAUAAUAAACUUCUACAUGAAACUGUAUUUUUUCUUAAUAAAAUCAUUUUGACUAAUUUCUAGUCACUUUUAUAUGUUUAUAAUUUUCAACGUUGCAAUUUAUAAUUAUUCUUUUUGUGCUGGGAACAUGUGAAUAAAUAUGAAUUAACCGUUUUCUGA